This 1071-nucleotide ribosomal RNA is filed under the name Pseudarthrobacter oxydans. Its description in RNAcentral is "bacterial SSU rRNA". It matches the Rfam family "Bacterial small subunit ribosomal RNA", at positions 61 to 1143 of the family's 1533-position model. Lineage: Bacteria; Bacillati; Actinomycetota; Actinomycetes; Micrococcales; Micrococcaceae. The record is from RNAcentral.
GUCGAACGAUGAUGGGAGCUUGCUCCUGGAUUAGUGGCGAACGGGUGAGUAACACGUGAGUAACCUGCCCUUAACUCUGGGAUAAGCCUGGGAAACUGGGUCUAAUACCGGAUAUGACUCCUCAUCGCAUGGUGGGGGGUGGAAAGCUUUAUUGUGGUUUUGGAUGGACUCGCGGCCUAUCAGCUUGUUGGUGAGGUAAUGGCUUACCAAGGCGACGACGGGUAGCCGGCCUGAGAGGGUGACCGGCCACACUGGGACUGAGACACGGCCCAGACUCCUACGGGAGGCAGCAGUGGGGAAUAUUGCACAAUGGGCGCAAGCCUGAUGCAGCGACGCCGCGUGAGGGAUGACGGCCUUCGGGUUGUAAACCUCUUUCAGUAGGGAAGAAGCGAAAGUGACGGUACCUGCAGAAGAAGCGCCGGCUAACUACGUGCCAGCAGCCGCGGUAAUACGUAGGGCGCAAGCGUUAUCCGGAAUUAUUGGGCGUAAAGAGCUCGUAGGCGGUUUGUCGCGUCUGCCGUGAAAGUCCGGGGCUCAACUCCGGAUCUGCGGUGGGUACGGGCAGACUAGAGUGAUGUAGGGGAGACUGGAAUUCCUGGUGUAGCGGUGAAAUGCGCAGAUAUCAGGAGGAACACCGAUGGCGAAGGCAGGUCUCUGGGCAUUAACUGACGCUGAGGAGCGAAAGCAUGGGGAGCGAACAGGAUUAGAUACCCUGGUAGUCCAUGCCGUAAACGUUGGGCACUAGGUGUGGGGGACAUUCCACGUUUUCCGCGCCGUAGCUAACGCAUUAAGUGCCCCGCCUGGGGAGUACGGCCGCAAGGCUAAAACUCAAAGGAAUUGACGGGGGCCCGCACAAGCGGCGGAGCAUGCGGAUUAAUUCGAUGCAACGCGAAGAACCUUACCAAGGCUUGACAUGAACCGGUAAUACCUGGGAGACAGGUGCCCCGCUUGCGGUCGGUUUACAGGUGGUGCAUGGUUGUCGUCAGCUCGUGUCGUGAGAUGUUGGGUUAAGUCCCGCAACGAGCGCAACCCUCGUUCUAUGUUGCCAGCACGUGAUGGUGGGGACUCAUA